CCUACGGGGGGCAGCAGUGGGGAAUAUUGGGCAAUGGGCGCAAGCCUGACCCAGCAACGCCGCGUGAAGGAAGAAGGCUUUAGGGUUGUAAAAUUCUUUUGACAGGGAAGAGCAGAAGACGGUACCUGUCGAAUAAGCAAUGGCUAACGACGUGCCAGCAGCCGCGGUAAUACGUAGGUGGCAAGCGUUGUCCGGAUUUCCAGGGUGUAAAGGGCGUGUAGCCGGGCUGAAAAGUCAGAUGUGAAAUCCGGGGGCUCAACCCCCGAACUGCAUUUGAAACUGUUGGUCUUGAGUAUCGGAGAGGCAGGCGGAAUGCCUAGUGUAGCGGUGAAAUGCGUAGAGAUUAGGAGGAACACCAGUGGCGAAGGCGGCCUGCUGGACGACAACUGACGGUGAGGCGCGAAAGCGUGGGGAGCAAACAGGAUUAGAUACCCGGGUAGUC
RNAcentral lists this ribosomal RNA (442 nucleotides) under uncultured bacterium. Its description in RNAcentral is "partial 16S ribosomal RNA". It matches the Rfam family "Bacterial small subunit ribosomal RNA", at positions 338 to 795 of the family's 1533-position model. The record is from RNAcentral.